GGCAGUGCGCAGCUACACAUGCAGUCGAGCGAGAACUUCGGUUCUAGCGGCGGACGGGUUAGUAACGCGUGGGAACGUGCCCUUCACUACGGAAUAGUCCCGGGAAACUGGGUUUAAUACCGUAUACGCCCUUCGGGGGAAAGAAUUUCGGUGAAGGAUCGGCCCGCGUUAGAUUAGAUAGUUGGUGGGGUAACGGCCUACCAAGUCUACGAUCUAUAGCUGGUUUUAGAGGAUGAUCAGCAACACUGGGACUGAGACACGGCCCAGACUCCUACGGGAGGCAGCAGUGGGGAAUCUUAGACAAUGGGCGCAAGCCUGAUCUAGCCAUGCCGCGUGAGUGAUGAAGGCCUUAGGGUCGUAAAGCUCUUUCGCCAGGGAUGAUAAUGACAGUACCUGGUAAAGAAACCCCGGCUAACUCCGUGCCAGCAGCCGCGGUAAUACGGAGGGGGUUAGCGUUGUUCGGAAUUACUGGGCGUAAAGCGCGCGUAGGCGGAUUGGAAAGUUGGGGGUGAAAUCCCAGGGCUCAACCCUGGAACUGCCUCCAAAACUAUCAGUCUAGAGUUCGAGAGAGGUGAGUGGAACUCCGAGUGUAGAGGUGAAAUUCGUAGAUAUUCGGAAGAACACCAGUGGCGAAGGCGGCUCACUGGCUCGAUACUGACGCUGAGGUGCGAAAGUGUGGGGAGCAAACAGGAUUAGAUACCCUGGUAGUC
RNAcentral lists this ribosomal RNA (710 nucleotides) under Roseovarius sp. RNAcentral's name for it is "bacterial SSU rRNA". It matches the Rfam family "Bacterial small subunit ribosomal RNA", at positions 38 to 795 of the family's 1533-position model. Lineage: Bacteria; Pseudomonadati; Pseudomonadota; Alphaproteobacteria; Rhodobacterales; Roseobacteraceae. The record is from RNAcentral.